UACGUAGGGUGCGAGCGUUGUCCGGAAUUAUUGGGCGUAAAGAGCUCGUAGGCGGCUUGUCGCGUCGGAUGUGAAAGCCCGGGGCUUAACUCCGGGUCUGCAUUCGAUACGGGCGAGGCUAGAGUUCGGUAGGGGAGAUCGGAAUUCCUGGUGUAGCGGUGAAAUGACGCAGAUAUCAGGAGGAACACCGGUGGCGAAGGCGGAUCUCUGGGCCGAUACUGACGCUGAGGAGCGAAAGCGUGGGGAGCGAACAGG
RNAcentral lists this ribosomal RNA (255 nucleotides) under uncultured bacterium. Its description in RNAcentral is "partial 16S ribosomal RNA". It matches the Rfam family "Bacterial small subunit ribosomal RNA", at positions 524 to 776 of the family's 1533-position model. The record is from RNAcentral.